Molecule: ribosomal RNA, 247 nt
Filed under: uncultured bacterium
Lineage: Bacteria
Description: partial 16S ribosomal RNA
Rfam family: Bacterial small subunit ribosomal RNA
Source: RNAcentral
AUACGUAGGUGGCAAGCGUUGUCCGGAUUUACUGGGCGUAAAGAGUAUGUAGGCGGAUAUUUAAGUCAGAUGUGAAAUUCCCGGGCUUAACCUGGGAGCUGCAUUUGAUACUGGAUAUCUAGAGUGCGGGAGAGGAAAGUGGAAUUCCUAGUGUAGCGGUGAAAUGCGUAGAGAUUAGGAAGAACACCAGUGGCGAAGGCGACUUUCUGGACCGUAACUGACGCUGAGGCGCGAAAGCCAGGGGAGC